CUGAUUGAUGGUGCUUGCACCUGAUUGACGAUGGAUCACCAGUGAGUGGCGGACGGGUGAGUAACACGUAGGUAACCUGCCCCGGAGCGGGGGAUAACAUUUGGAAACAGAUGCUAAUACCGCAUAACAACAAAAGCCACAUGGCUUUUGUUUGAAAGAUGGCUUUGGCUAUCACUCUGGGAUGGACCUGCGGUGCAUUAGCUAGUUGGUAAGGUAACGGCUUACCAAGGCGAUGAUGCAUAGCCGAGUUGAGAGACUGAUCGGCCACAAUGGAACUGAGACACGGUCCAUACUCCUACGGGAGGCAGCAGUAGGGAAUCUUCCACAAUGGGCGCAAGCCUGAUGGAGCAACACCGCGUGAGUGAAGAAGGGUUUCGGCUCGUAAAGCUCUGUUGUUGGAGAAGAACGUGCGUGAGAGUAACUGUUCACGCAGUGACGGUAUCCAACCAGAAAGUCACGGCUAACUACGUGCCAGCAGCCGCGGUAAUACGUAGGUGGCAAGCGUUAUCCGGAUUUAUUGGGCGUAAAGCGAGCGCAGGCGGUUGCUUAGGUCUGAUGUGAAAGCCUUCGGCUUAACCGAAGAAGUGCAUCGGAAACCGGGCGACUUGAGUGCAGAAGAGGACAGUGGAACUCCAUGUGUAGCGGUGGAAUGCGUAGAUAUAUGGAAGAACACCAGUGGCGAAGGCGGCUGUCUGGUCUGCAACUGACGCUGAGGCUCGAAAGCAUGGGUAGCGAACAGGAUUAGAUACCCCUGGUAGUCCAUGCCGUAAACGAUGAGUGCUAGGUGUUGGAGGGUUUCCGCCCUUCAGUGCCGGAGCUAACGCAUUAAGCACUCCGCCUGGGGAGUACGACCGCAAGGUUGAAACUCAAAGGAAUUGACGGGGGCCCGCACAAGCGGUGGAGCAUGUGGUUUAAUUCGAAGCUACGCGAAGAACCUUACCAGGUCUUGACAUCUUGCGCUAACCUUAGAGAUAAGGCGUUCCCUUCGGGGACGCAAUGACAGGUGGUGCAUGGUCGUCGUCAGCUCGUGUCGUGAGAUGUUGGGUUAAGUCCCGCAACGAGCGCAACCCUUGUUACUAGUUGCCAGCAUUAAGUUGGGCACUCUAGUGAGACUGCCGGUGACAAACCGGAGGAAGGUGGGGACGACGUCAGAUCAUCAUGCCCCUUAUGACCUGGGCUACACACGUGCUACAAUGGACGGUACAACGAGUCGCAAGCUCGCGAGAGUAAGCUAAUCUCUUAAAGCCGUUCUCAGUUCGGACUGUAGGCUGCAACUCGCCUACACGAAGUCGGAAUCGCUAGUAAUCGCGGAUCAGCAUGCCGCGGUGAAUACGUUCCCGGGCCUUGUACACACCGCCCGUCACACCAUGGGAGUUUGUAACGCCCAAAGUC
Molecule: ribosomal RNA, 1392 nt
Filed under: Limosilactobacillus reuteri
Lineage: Bacteria; Bacillati; Bacillota; Bacilli; Lactobacillales; Lactobacillaceae
Description: bacterial SSU rRNA
Rfam family: Bacterial small subunit ribosomal RNA
Source: RNAcentral